This 652-nucleotide ribosomal RNA is filed under the name Enterobacter asburiae. Its description in RNAcentral is "bacterial SSU rRNA". It matches the Rfam family "Bacterial small subunit ribosomal RNA", at positions 826 to 1479 of the family's 1533-position model. Lineage: Bacteria; Pseudomonadati; Pseudomonadota; Gammaproteobacteria; Enterobacterales; Enterobacteriaceae. The record is from RNAcentral.
UCGCCUUGAGGCGUGGCUUCCGGAGCUAACGCGUUAAGUCGACCGCCUGGGGAGUACGGCCGCAAGGUUAAAACUCAAAUGAAUUGACGGGGGCCCGCACAAGCGGUGGAGCAUGUGGUUUAAUUCGAUGCAACGCGAAGAACCUUACCUACUCUUGACAUCCAGAGAACUUUCCAGAGAUGGAUUGGUGCCUUCGGGAACUCUGAGACAGGUGCUGCAUGGCUGUCGUCAGCUCGUGUUGUGAAAUGUUGGGUUAAGUCCCGCAACGAGCGCAACCCUUAUCCUUUGUUGCCAGCGGUUAGGCCGGGAACUCAAAGGAGACUGCCAGUGAUAAACUGGAGGAAGGUGGGGAUGACGUCAAGUCAUCAUGGCCCUUACGAGUAGGGCUACACACGUGCUACAAUGGCGCAUACAAAGAGAAGCGACCUCGCGAGAGCAAGCGGACCUCAUAAAGUGCGUCGUAGUCCGGAUUGGAGUCUGCAACUCGACUCCGUGAAGUCGGAAUCGCUAGUAAUCGUACAUCAGAAUGCUACGGUGAAUACAUUCCCGGGCCUUGUACACACCGGCGGUCACACCCUGGGAGUGGGUUGCAAAAGAAGUAGGUAGCUUAACCUUCGGGAGGGCGCUUACCACUUUGUGAUUCAUGACUGUG